AACGAACGCUGGCGGCAGGCUUAACACAUGCAAGUCGAGCGCCCCGCAAGGGGAGCGGCAGACGGGUGAGUAACGCGUGGGAAUCUACCCAUCUCUACGGAAUAACGCAUGGAAACGUGUGCUAAUACCGUAUACGUCCUUCGGGAGAAAGAUUUAUCGGAGAUGGAUGAGCCCGCGUUGGAUUAGCUAGUUGGUGGGGUAAAGGCCUACCAAGGCGACGAUCCAUAGCUGGUCUGAGAGGAUGAUCAGCCACACUGGGACUGAGACACGGCCCAGACUCCUACGGGAGGCAGCAGUGGGGAAUAUUGGACAAUGGGCGCAAGCCUGAUCCAGCCAUGCCGCGUGAGUGAUGAAGGCCCUAGGGUUGUAAAGCUCUUUCACCGGUGAAGAUAAUGACGGUAACCGGAGAAGAAGCCCUGGCUAACUUCGUGCCAGCCGCCGCGGUAA
This 447-nucleotide ribosomal RNA is filed under the name uncultured Hyphomicrobiales bacterium. RNAcentral describes it as "bacterial SSU rRNA". It matches the Rfam family "Bacterial small subunit ribosomal RNA", at positions 29 to 523 of the family's 1533-position model. Lineage: Bacteria; Pseudomonadati; Pseudomonadota; Alphaproteobacteria; Hyphomicrobiales. The record is from RNAcentral.